This 1793-nucleotide ribosomal RNA is filed under the name human gut metagenome. RNAcentral describes it as "bacterial LSU rRNA". It matches the Rfam family "Bacterial large subunit ribosomal RNA", at positions 466 to 2349 of the family's 2925-position model. The record is from RNAcentral.
CUAAAUACUACCCAGUGACCGAUAGCGUAUAGUACUGUGAAGGAAAGGUGAAAAGCACCCCGGGAGGGGAGUGAAAAAGAACCUGAAACCCUGUGCCUACAAGCACCUAGAGCACGUCAAUGUGUGAUAGGGUACUUUUUGUAGAACGGUCCGGCGAGCGAUUGUAUGCAGCAAGGUUAAGGACUUAAGGUCUGGAGCCGAAGCGAAAGCGAGUUUGAAAAGGGCGUUAAGUUGCAUAUAAUGGGCCCGAAACCGGGUGACCUACCCAUGGUCAGGUUGAAGUGGAAGUAAAAUUCCAUGGAGGACCGAACCGACCUCCGUUGAAAAGGCGGCGGAUGAACUGUGGGUAGCGGAGAAAUUCCAAUCGAACCCGGAGAUAGCUGGUUCUCCCCGAAAUAGUUUUAGGACUAGCCUCAAGUUAGAUACCUGGAGGUAAAGCACUGAAUAGCCUAGCGGCCGAGAGGUUAGCGAAGCUUAUCAAACUCAGAAUGCCAGAGUAUUGAUGCUUGGGAGUCAGACAGUGUCAGAUAAAUGUCAUUGUCAAAAGGGAAACAGCCCAGAUCUACAGCUAAGGUCCCAAAGUCAGGUUAAGUGGAAAACGAUGUGAAGAUACGCAGACAACCAGGAUGUUGGCUCAGAAGCAGCCACUCAUUCAAAGAGUGCGUAAUAGCUCACUGGUCGAGCGUCUUUGCGCGGAGAAUUUAACGGGGCUAAACCUGACACCGAAGCUUAGGCAAUCCAGUAAUGGAUUGGGUAGGGGAGCGUUGUAUACGCGGAGAAACAGUAGCGUGAGCGGCUGUGGAGUGUAUAGAAGUGAGAAUGCCGGAAUGAGUAGCGCGAAUGCAGUGAGAAUCUGCAUGGCCGAAAGCCUCAGGUUUUUGGAGGAAGGUUCGUCCGCUCCAAGUUAGUCGGGAGCUAAGGUGAGGCCGGAAGGCGUAGCCGAUGCACAGACGGUAGAGAUUCCGUCACCACCAAAAGAGUUAAGCACAGGGACACAUUUGAAGUCUCAGAGCCGGGUGUUGGUUCCGGUAGAGAUCGAGGGAAAUUAGUACCGAAGUCUGGGAUGGAAGAUGGCGAGAAAAGCUGUGUGUAUUUCUGAGGUGCCCGUACCGCAAACCGACACAGGUAGGUAGGAAGAAGAUUCUAAGGCCAACGGGAGAAGGGUUGUUAAGGAACUCGGCAAAUUGACCCCGUAACUUCGGGAGAAGGGGUGCUCCAGAGAUGGAGCCGCAGAGAAUCGGCCCAAGCAACUGUUUACCAAAAACACAGGUUUGUGCUAAAUCGAAAGAUGACGUAUACGAGCUGACGCCUGCCCGGUGCUGGAAGGUUAAGAGGAGAUGUGCAAGCAUUGAAUCGAAGCCCCAGUGAACGGCGGCCGUAACUAUAACGGUCCUAAGGUAGCGAAAUUCCUUGUCAGGUAAGUUCUGACCCGCAUGAAAGGCGUAAUGAUUUGGGCACUGUCUCAACAGCCCGCCCGGCGAAAUUGUAGUACCGGUGAAGAUGCCGGUUACCCGCGACAAGACGGAAAGACCCCAUGGAGCUUUACUGUAGCCUAAUAUUGGGUUUCGAUGUUGCAUGCACAGGAUAGAUGGGACACUGGGAAACAAUCGCUUUGGCGGUUGCGGAGUGGCCGUUGGGAUACCAUCCUUGCGAUAUUGGAAUUCUAACCUGCGGCUCUGAAUCGAGUCGGGGGACAUUGUUAGGUGGGCAGUUUGACUGGGGCGGUCGCCUCCUAAAAAGUAACGGAGGCGUUCAAAGGUUCGCUCAGCUUGAACGGAAAUCAAGCAAAAGAG